Long non-coding RNA from Sander lucioperca (pikeperch), 325 nucleotides. RefSeq lists it as uncharacterized. The record is from RefSeq and is a predicted model, not a curated record. The transcript has 2 exons. Lineage: Eukaryota; Metazoa; Chordata; Actinopteri; Perciformes; Percidae.
UGUGUGUGUGUGUGUGUGUGUGUGUGUGUGUGUGUGUGUGUGUGUGUGUAUAAGUGUUCCCAUGGCUGCCUGACCCACAUAUGUUUGUGACUUGUGUUUAAUCCUUUUUAAUUUCCCUGUAAGGAUGUUUUUCAUUAAAAGACAACUGUAUGUAUCCAUUUGAGGUCCCCCCCCCCCCUCCCCGACUCUUAGUUGUAUGCAAAUUUGUACAAAAACAUGAAAAAACAACAAACUGUGUUGAUAUUUAUGUAUUACAUAUAAUCUUGCUAUCCAGCAUUACGACAGAAUAGUAUCAUGUAAAUAAAAACUGUACAGAGAGACAUUA